GGAGGUUUGGCCGAGUGGUUAUGGCGUGUGACUCAAGUUCUCAUGGGCUUUGCCCGCGAGGGUUCGAAUCCCUCAGCCUUCA
This 82-nucleotide transfer RNA is filed under the name Mycosphaerella sp. Ston1. Its description in RNAcentral is "tRNA-Leu (CAA) (tRNA-Leu-CAA-1-1)". It matches the Rfam family "tRNA". From Rfam's summary of the family: Transfer RNA (tRNA) molecules are approximately 80 nucleotides in length. Their secondary structure includes four short double-helical elements and three loops (D, anti-codon, and T loops). Lineage: Eukaryota; Fungi; Ascomycota; Dothideomycetes; Mycosphaerellales; Mycosphaerellaceae. RNAcentral also lists the same sequence under 1 other name. The record is from RNAcentral.